RNA transcript from Cucurbita maxima (winter squash), 1576 nucleotides. It is a transcript of the gene named metacaspase-1-like, with no coding region annotated. The record is from RefSeq and is a predicted model, not a curated record. The transcript has 5 exons. Lineage: Eukaryota; Viridiplantae; Streptophyta; Magnoliopsida; Cucurbitales; Cucurbitaceae.
AAAAUGGAUACCAAAAGUGAACGUUGCUGUUCCAAGAUCAAGAACCACGCCUCCUCCUCCGGUGCCGGGACAUUCCGAACACGACGAAACACGAGUCGAGAUGAUGAAACGAGAGCUGAAAGGGCUCUUGGGCUGCCACCACCACCGAUGAAAAGCCUCUCCUCCACUGCCUCGGACGGGCGGCCGAGAAAGCGAGCUCUCCUCUGUGGGGUGAGUUACAAGAACUGGAAACAUAAGCUACUUGGGACUUUGAAUGAUGUUCGGAAUAUGCAAGAUUUGUUGAUCAAUCAUUUUGGAUAUUCCAAAUAUAACAUUCGUAUUCUUACAGAGUAUGAAACCAACCCAGAGCGAGUACCAACAAAGAAGAACAUCCAAAGCGGACUAAAAUGGCUAGUUGAAGGUUGCAGGGGAGGCGAAAGCCUGGUGUUCUACUUCUCCGGCCAUGGAUUACGGCAGCCGGAUUUCGCGAUGGACGAGCUCGACGGCUACAACGAGACGAUAUGCCCAGUAGACUUCAUGGAGGAAGGGAUGAUAAGCGACAACGAGAUCAACGCCACCAUUGUUUCCCCUCUGAAGGCCGGCGUCAACCUCCACAGCAUCGUCGACGCCUGCCACAGCGCCACAAUGCUCGAUCUCGCCUAUGUCUAUGACCGCAACAGGGAUGAGUGGCUGGACAACAGACCGCCGUCGGGAGCGUGGAAGGCGACGAGUGGUGGAUUGGCGAUUUGUUUGAGUGCUUGUGGAGAUGAUGAAUUUGCUGCUGAUACUUCUAUAUUAUCAGGGAAGACGAUGAACGGAGCACUGACGUUCAUUCUUAUCGAUUUGGUUAAGAGAUUUGGAGAAAUGACGUAUGGACGCAUGCUUGAUUGCAUGCAAGAAGCUGUUCAAAGGGCCAACAAAAAAGGAUGCCUCCCAUGUGUUUUUUUCAGAAAAUUGUUCGAAUACAAACAAAUUCAGGUCAUUUACUCAUUACCCUUUCAUUUUUUUUUUCUUCUUUUUUAACGUCUUUUCCUUAAAUUUGAAUAAACGUUCGUCAUGGAUCGCCAGUGAAGAAACUAAUGAAUUCUACAUAAUUCAACUAUUAGAACACUUGAAAUUGAGUUCUUGAACUUGAUACGAACAUUCAAACUUAAACACCACAACUUUGGUUAAAGUGUCGAGUUAUUUAGUGUCGAGUUUUUCUGUCUCUUUUUCAUUCUCCUCUUAAUGAACUCCUUCCUCACACACGUCACGAAUGUGAAUUUACUUGAAUAUCCUUAAGGCAUUGUUAUGAGAAGGCUCUUAGAGUGGAAAUAUUAUUUAAUGAAGUCGUUACUGUACGACUGUUUUAUAAUAACUAUCAGAUGUGAACUCAAAAUUUUAUAUAACACUAAUAACGAGCCACAAGCCAACUUCUCCAGUAGGUUCUUUGUUGCUUAUGAACCAAUUGGAUGAGUGGUUGUUGUGGAUUUGACGUCCUAGAAGGAACGGGGCGGCUAAAAUAUCGAAUGGUGUUGGCCUAUCUAUAUUAUUAGAACCUCGACUCUCAUCAUCAGAGAUUUUUGACGUGCACAAGAAAAUAUUUACAUUAUAACUC